Molecule: long non-coding RNA, 1127 nt
Filed under: Nicotiana tabacum (common tobacco)
Lineage: Eukaryota; Viridiplantae; Streptophyta; Magnoliopsida; Solanales; Solanaceae
Description: long non-coding RNA (NTAB_LNC008299)
Source: RNAcentral
UAAAAGGCUUGCUUAACAUUAAAGUGUUCUGUUCCUUUUGGACAAGAAAAUAGUAGUACGUCCAAGUCUUGUACAUAGGACAUUGCUAUUCAAAACAAUUGAAGCAGAAGCGAGAUUAAGUUUAAAAAGGAAGCUUCAUAGAUCAGAUGCAGUAUUUCGUACAUAUUUCUCAGAAGCAGAAGCUUCAUUUCAUUCAAAAAUUCAAGGAACAGGUAUGUUAAGGCCCUCCCUUCUUUCUUUUGGCAUGGUCCAAAUUAUAUUGAAGAAACGAGCAAACACAUAGUUUUAAUAAAUUACUUUAUUCAUAGAAAUAGUAGGGGUGUCUAUAUUCUUGAUUCCCCAUGAGAAUUAUUAUUAUCUUCUGUUCAUGGGUCUCAGAAUAAUACGCAAUUGGAAAAGUUUAUCCAGGAGGAAUAUUGAGGUUAUUACGUAUUUUUCAUGCAUUUCUCUCAUUUAUACAUGUGCAUUGACCCAUGACCAGAUGGCAUUAUAUACGCGUAUAUAUGUAUAUGGGAUAUAGGAAAAGGUUACAGCGUUAUAUAUGCACCACCACCUGAUCAGGUGGUAUAUGUUGAUAAUAUUGCCCACAGUGGCCGAGACGAUAUGAUGGGAUGCCCUCAGCGGCUUGAUGAUAUUAUGUACACCCAUACCUAUGCAUGGCACGAUAUUUGUACGCAUGUGCAUGACAUUAUAAACGUUUCAGAAUUUACAAAGUUAUUCAGAUUUAAAGAUCUGUUUCCUUAUUCCAUAUUUCAUCAAUGUCUUUUACGUAAUAAUUUCCAUUCCUAACAUACUUAGUACAUUUUUUGUAAUGACGCCCUAUUUCACGGGGCCUGCAUUUCAUGCCCGCAGGUGUAGUUAGGCAAGCUGAUGGUCCCCCUUCUUAAGAUCCCUGAUCAGCGAGAGUUAACGUGCUCUACUUGAUCCGGAGCUGCUUUUGAUUUUGGUAUGAUAUGUUUAUAUAUAUGUAUAUAUGUAUAUGGGAAUGACGUGGCUCAGUCCCGUCUUUGUACAAUUAAAUUUCUAUUAGAGGUCUGCAGAUAGUAUGUCUAGUUGGAUUGUAUGUGGCAUUGCCGGCUUUCAGUUUUGGAUGUAUAGUUGUCUGUAGCGGCCUUGCCGGCUCGCCC